CGUAGGGUGCGAGCGUUAAUCGGAAUUACUGGGCGUAAGCGUGCGCAGGCGGUUUUGUAAGACAGGCGUGAAAUCCCCGGGCUCAACCUGGGAACUGCGCUUGUGACUGCAAGGCUAGAGUACGGCAGAGGGGGGUGGAAUUCCACGUGUAGCAGUGAAAUGCGUAGAGAUGUGGAGGAACACCAAUGGCGAAGGCAGCCCCCUGGGUCGAUACUGACGCUCAUGCACGAAAGCGUGGGUAGCAAACAGGAUUAGAUACCCUGGUAAUCCACGCCCUAAACGAUGUCAACUAGGUGUUGGGUGGGUAAAACCAUUUAGUACCGGAGCUAACGCGUGAAGUUGACCGCCUGGGGGAGUACGGCCGCAAGGUUA
RNAcentral lists this ribosomal RNA (372 nucleotides) under uncultured organism. RNAcentral describes it as "bacterial SSU rRNA". It matches the Rfam family "Bacterial small subunit ribosomal RNA", at positions 526 to 896 of the family's 1533-position model. The record is from RNAcentral.